Phalaenopsis equestris is the source of this 1542-nucleotide long non-coding RNA. RefSeq lists it as uncharacterized. NCBI's taxonomy places the organism in Eukaryota, Viridiplantae, Streptophyta, Magnoliopsida, Asparagales, Orchidaceae. The transcript is spliced from 4 exons. The record is from RefSeq and is a predicted model, not a curated record.
ACGCCGCCCUCAAAUUCAAAAUUUUGAUGCACCUUUUUCGUUUCUAAUUUCACCGUUGUGGGUCUGAAGAUGUAUGCGAUUCAAUGCCCCAGCGCAAGAAGCUUAAUCGGGCUGCUGUGCUAUAUACUACGUCAAAGCUCGCCGAUGGUGCCGCCGAGCCUUUGCAAUCUCUACUCAGAAAUUACGGCAGCUAAUUUGUUCUCGAUCUAUCACUCAAAAUCGAGGAGUAUGCGGAUCAUACUGUAAAGUUAUGACAACGAUUUGAUGUUGGUUGAGGGAAUAUUUGAUUCAGCGUUCAAUUAGAUGCAUCAGGAAGAUUUCAUUUGUUGAAAUGGGCAACAAAUAAGGUCUCUUAAUGCAAACGAGAUGUUCAGAGUCAAAUUCUCAGGAAAUUGCGCCACCUUUUAUUCUUUUCAAUGCAUUUAAUCAAGUUUACUUGCAGAUAAUAGACGUAGAUCAAUAUCAUUUUGUCAUCAUAUUCGACACUUGUUCUUUUGAUGAAAUAAGUUAGCUCUGAUCUCUAUUUGUUUUGAUUGACCAUACAAGGCUAGAUUAUUGGUCACAACCCGGUAUUUUUGGUCUCUAAAUACACAGCUGGCUUGUUCAAUGGUAAUUUGAACAAUUGCAAAAUAUGUUGUAUCCUAAUAAUUCUUACAACUGUAGAAGAAAAUACUUUAUAUUCAAUCUCAACCUUUGACAUUGAAAUGUUUUCUUUUUCUUCUUAUCAUUCCAAAAUAUCAAAUUCUGCCAAGGAAAAUAUUGUAGCAUGAGACUAAUAUUUUGUUGUCUUAAUCUCUUUCCUAGUUAACAUUGUAAUAUUUUGUCACUUAAUGUUGAUACUCUUAUCAUUUUCUUGAAAUCAAAUGGAAGGGGGCAUAUGGUUGAUGUAGUUUUUGUAAGGGCAAAAUAAUUAUUUCUCUUUGGUUUCCUAAGACUCGGUUAUAAGAUAAAUAGCAGAGGAAGAUCACCUCAUCAGAAAAGUCAUGUUAUUCUCACACUCGUCUUUUGGUAAAAAUAUCUACUAUUUGUUGCACUGUUGGGGUGAAAGGACAACUUCAUUGGCAUGUGUAUCGGGAUCCAUAACUCUUCAAGAAUUCUCUUCAGCUAUAUCAUCUUAGGUUCAGAACUAAAAGACUCAGAACUCGAAGAUGAAGUUGACUGAUCAUUGGGUAAAAACUCAGUGAGGACAUUACUUGGAGAAUUCAUCGAUUAUGGGCAAUGCAAAUGUUUCGUAGACUCUUUCUUUGGAGUUAUCCUUUGUCGCAAGUAGAAAUUGUCAAAUGGUAUCAAUUUCAUAGUUUUUUUUCUGCUUUCUCUUCAUUAGUUUUUAUAGGAUUGUGAACAUCAUGAGAUUACAUUAUAGAAAAAUUUGUAUCGUCUUCAAUAUUUAAAAAACUCGAUUCACUUUCUCCUCAUAUAAUAUAGCUUGAAUUUCAAGUUGAACAAUCAAUGUUGGAUAGAUAUUAUUUUAUGAGCUUUGAUUUGAAGAAAGUCAUGAAAAUCAGUAGUCAAAUCUUUGUUUUGUCCGUCCCCCCCCCCACC